This is a non-coding RNA of Stegodyphus mimosarum, 73 nucleotides long. The record is from Rfam. Lineage: Eukaryota; Metazoa; Arthropoda; Arachnida; Araneae; Eresidae.
GCCUUCGUGGUGUAAUGAUCAGCACACUAAGCUGGUAUUUCAGAGGUCCGCGGUUCGAUCCCCGGCGAAGGAA